GAAAUGCGAUAAGUAAUGCGAAUUGCAGAAUUUCCGUGAGUCAUCGAAUCUUUGAACGCACAUUGCGCCCAUUGGUAUUCCGAUGGGCAUGCCUGUUCGAGCGUCAUUACGCACCCUCAAGCCCGGCUUGUGUGAUGGGCCCCGGCGUCUCGUUCGCGAGACGGGCCCGAAAGGCAGCGGCGGCGUCGACCCGAUGAGCCCGAGCGUAUGGGGACUUCUGUCACACGUUCGCGGUGCGGACCGGCGCCUGCUUUGACUUUUCUGAUUAUCCAGGUUGACCUCGGAUCAGGUAGGGAUACCCGCUGAACUUAAGC
Molecule: unclassified non-coding RNA, 314 nt
Filed under: plant metagenome
Description: partial contains 5.8S ribosomal RNA, internal transcribed spacer 2, and large subunit ribosomal RNA
Rfam family: 5.8S ribosomal RNA (bases 1-106)
Source: RNAcentral